Molecule: long non-coding RNA, 217 nt
Organism: Salvia hispanica
Lineage: Eukaryota; Viridiplantae; Streptophyta; Magnoliopsida; Lamiales; Lamiaceae
Source: RefSeq, a predicted model, not a curated record
ACACAAGUUUAGUGGUAGGAAGGAGAAAUAGAGAGGAAGUCAGAAGAAAUACACAGAGAUAUUACGGCCAAAAUUAUAGCGGAAGAAAAUAAAAGGAUCAAGGAUGCAGCCAGUGGAAUCAGGGGUUCAGUUAAACUACUUACUAUAAUCAGGAAUAAGAGAUAGCAGUGAACUUUUUGGGUUGACGUGAGUCAUAGGAACUCCACAUGUUAUCAGG